UUGAUAAUGAAACAAACAGGUGUCAGAUAGGCAGGGUGACCUCACUCUGCCGGAUCUGGUGAAAAGGGAAACAGGUGCGAAUCCUGUACGAACUCGUCACUGUAUUUAGGGAGUGCAUGCCAAAAACUCACUGGGCAGCCGGGAAGAGGGCAAUGCAUGAUGAUCUGUAAGUCAGGAGACCUGCCUGAUUGUUGUACGGGAA
Molecule: non-coding RNA, 202 nt
Filed under: Roseburia inulinivorans
Lineage: Bacteria; Bacillati; Bacillota; Clostridia; Lachnospirales; Lachnospiraceae
Source: RNAcentral